CCUGGUUCAGGACGAACGCUGGGCGGCGUGCUUAACCCAUGCAAUUCGAGGCGGAGACUUUACUGUAAUUUAUAUGGGUAAUUUUUUAGCGCCGGACGGGUGAGUAACACGUGGGUAACCUGCCUCGAAGUGAGGAAUAGCCUUCCGAAAGGGGAGAUUAAUACCUCAUAAUAUUAAUUUUUCGCAUGAAAGAUUAAUUAAAGGAUUUAUUCGCUUCGAGAUGGACCCGCGGCGCAUUAGUUAGUUGGUGAGGUAAUGGCUCACCAAGACAAUGAUGCGUAGCCGACCUGAGAGGGUGAUCGGCCACAUUGGAACUGAGAUACGGUCCAAACUCCUACGGGAGGCAGCAGUGGGGAAUAUUGCACAAUGGGCGAAAGCCUGAUGCAGCAACGCCGCGUGAGUGAUGAAGGCUUUCGAGUCGUAAAGCUCUUUGAUCAGGGACGAUAAUGACGGUACCUGAAGAACAAGCCACGGCUAACUACGUGCCAGCAGCCGCGGUAAUACGUAGGUGGCGAGCGUUGUCCGGAAUUAUUGGGCGUAAAGGAUGCGUAGGUGGAUGUUUAAGUGGGAUGUGAAAUCCCUGGGCUCAACCCAGGAAUUGCAUUCCAAACUGGAUAUCUUGAGUAUAGUAGAGGAAAGCAGAAUUCCUAGUGUAGAGGUGAAAUUCGUAGAUAUUAGGAGGAAUACCAGUGGCGAAGGCGGCUUUCUGGACUAUAACUGACACUGAGGCAUGAAAGCGUGGGUAGCAAACAGGAUUAGAUACCCUGGUAGUCCACGCCGUAAACGAUGGGUACUAGGUGUAGGAGGUAUCGACCCCUUCUGUGCCGUCGUAACACAAUAAU
Molecule: ribosomal RNA, 842 nt
Filed under: uncultured bacterium
Lineage: Bacteria
Description: bacterial SSU rRNA
Rfam family: Bacterial small subunit ribosomal RNA
Source: RNAcentral